AUUGAACGCUGGCGGAAUGCUUUACACAUGCAAGUCGAACGGCAGCACGGACUUCGGUCUGGUGGCGAGUGGCGAACGGGUGAGUAAUGUAUCGGAACGUGCCCAGUCGUGGGGGAUAACGUAGUGAAAAUUACGCUAAUACCGCAUACGAGCUAUGGAUGAAAGCGGGGGACCGCAAGACCUAGCGCGAUUGGAGCGGCCGAGAUCAGCUUAGGUAGUUGGUGGGGGAAAGGCCCACCAAGCCAACGAUCUUUAGCUGGUCUGAGAGGACGACCAGCCACACUGGAACUGAGACACGGUCCAGACUCCUACGGGAGGCAGCAGUGGGGAAUUUUGGACAAUGGGCGAAAGCCUGAUCCAGCCAUUCCGCGUGCAGGAUGAAGGCCCUCGGGUUGUAAACUGCUUUUGUACAGAACGAAAAGGUUUCUACUAAUACUAGGAGCUCAUGACGGUACUGUAAGAAUAAGCACCGGCUAACUACGUGCCAGCAGCCGCGGUAA
Molecule: ribosomal RNA, 500 nt
Filed under: uncultured bacterium
Lineage: Bacteria
Description: partial 16S ribosomal RNA
Rfam family: Bacterial small subunit ribosomal RNA
Source: RNAcentral